This 358-nucleotide unclassified non-coding RNA is filed under the name soil metagenome. RNAcentral describes it as "partial contains 5.8S ribosomal RNA, internal transcribed spacer 2, and large subunit ribosomal RNA". The stretch from base 1 to 120 matches the Rfam family "5.8S ribosomal RNA", at positions 35 to 154 of the family's 154-position model. The record is from RNAcentral.
GAUGAAGAACGUAGUGAAAUGCGAUAAGUAAUGUGAAUUGCAGAAUUCAGUGAAUCAUCGAAUCUUUGAACGCACAUUGCGCCCGUCAGUAUUCUGGCGGGCAUGCCUGUUCGAGCGUCAUUACGCCCCUCAAGUCCCCUGUGGACUUGGUGUUGGGGAUCGGCGAGGCUGGUUUUCCAGCACAGCCGUCCCUUAAAUUAAUUGGCGGUCUCGCCGUGGCCCUCCUCUGCGCAGUAGUAAAACACUAGCAACAGGAGCCCGGCGCGGUCCACUGCCGUAAAACCCCCCAACUUUUUAUAGUUGACCUCGAAUCAGGUAGGACUACCCGCUGAACUUAAGCAUAUCAAUAAGCGGAGGA